RNAcentral lists this ribosomal RNA (198 nucleotides) under uncultured bacterium. RNAcentral's name for it is "partial 16S ribosomal RNA". It matches the Rfam family "Bacterial small subunit ribosomal RNA", at positions 328 to 539 of the family's 1533-position model. The record is from RNAcentral.
ACGCUCGACACCUACGGGAGGCAGCAGUGGGGAAUAUUGCACAAUGGGGGAAACCCUGAUGCAGCGACGCCGCGUGAGUGAAGAAGUAUUUCGGUAUGUAAAGCUCUAUCAGCAGGGAAGAAAAUGACGGUACCUGACUAAGAAGCCCCGGCUAACUACGUGUCAGCAGCCGCGGUAAUCUGAGCGGGCUGGCAAGGC